GUCCAUAGAGUGGUAAAGGCGGUCCCAGAAAUGCAGGAUGCGAAGAAAAGGCAUUGGUCUGAUUAGAUCUUCCCAGUGACAGAGAUCAGAGUGAAGUUCAGGCCUUGGAAAACAUAGAAAUACCAACAUCAGAUCAGCAUGAAUUUUAUGAGCGCAGUGUCAGCCACGUGGUAAACAGUCUGGUGUCCUUGUAAGAACAAGAAGCUGUGACGAAGAUGGUGGAUGAGAACACAGAGAGGGCUGUCCUUUACAAGCCAAGGAAAGAGACCUCGGAGGAAACCACCCCUGCCAGCACCUUGAUCUUGGACAUCUAGCCUCCAACACCUCGAGACAGUACACUUCUGUUACUUGAGCCACCCCAUCUAUGAUUGAUAAAGGAGCAGUUUUAUUUCGGUGAAAAAACGCUUUAAGUGACCACAGCUUUCUGAUGAGGUAAUUUUGUUGGGCGUGCAGAACCUCAGCUGGAAAAGCCGUGGUUGGUGGCGUCCUUGUACCGCCGUUCGCCCUACAGUUGGUUGUCAUUUAAUUCACAGAACUUCCUAAUAAUCAAUAAUGACAGACCGGAAUCAAAACAGAUUCCUGCCUCCCAUGUGUUUGAUGGAUUUGGACUGAGAUCAGGAAGCUGCUUCUUCCUUAGGAAUCCCAUGUGGGUUCGUGGGUUCUUUUUCUUAAAGCCAGAGUUCAACUUUCUGGUUUGGUCAUCGAGCCAUAUGUCACCCAUGGGCAUCUGUUCUCCUUUGAGGUAAGUAGUCUACAGGCUGAUGUUUUCGGCAGAAAAGCACAUUCUGGGUUAUAGGUCUGGGAUCGGUAGGAAGUCUAUCUGGGUUCUAGUUUGGGGAGCACCCCUCUCCUGUGUGACUCAAUCUACCUUCACAGCUGAAGUGCGGGCUGUUUGGAGAGAAGUCAUGGGUACAUUUCUGGUUCCCUCUGGGACUUCGUGACCUUUGACAAACCACAGGAACUCUUUGUGCCUUGGAGACGCGUUUCCCCCCGUGACUUCUCUCUGACAGGUGCUGUCAGAAUUAGAAAGCCCUGGAAGAUCCUCCAAACCUAGACUUAUAAUUACGAUUAAUAAUAGUAAUUAACUUUCAUCACAGGUGAGUCAUCUAUACCUUAGAAAUUCAGUAACGAUUUGUUUCAAAGGUACCCCUGAACAUUUCCUUACUCAGCCUCACUCCUCGGAGAAGGUACGUUACCUCCUAUUUUUUAUCCUUUUUAAAUUUUUUCCAGCUUUAUCAAAGUGUAAUUGGCCAACAAAAAUUAUGUAUGGUUGAGGCAGAUAACGUGAUGUUUCGCUCUGUGUAUAUACAUUGUGAGAUGGUCACUAUAAUCAAGCUAGUUACUACAGUCAUCAACUCACCGAGUUACCAUUUCUGUGGGGGUGUGUGUGUGUGUGUGUGUGAACAGGUAAGCUCUCUUAGCAAAGUUCAAGUAUUCAGAAUUGUUUGAACUAUAGUCACCGUGCUAUACAUUAGGUCUCUAGAACUUACCGAUCCUGCAUAACUAACAACUUUUUUAAUGUACCUUUUGUCCACAAUCUCCCCAUUUCUCCCACUCUCUAGCCCCUGACCGUCUCUAUCCUAGGGUACAUUUUAAAGAAAACGUUCUCAGUUUUUAAAGAGAACAGAAGGAAUUUUUCCUAUCUUAUAUUCAAUGCGUUUGAAUGGCUGAUAUUGGCAAAAUGAUUUUGUUCUUCAAAAGGGGGCUGACUGUUUUCUCAAAUAAGCUGCAAUUCUUGUAUCUGUGAUCAUGUUGCUCCUGAUAUUUUUGCUUUUAAAUUCUUUCGGUAUUCAACCGGGCAGUUUAUCUCUGUGACAUGCUUCCUUCUUCCCCUGUUCAAAAACAAAAGGAUGGGAAGUUCCAACAUUUGUACUUUUUCUUUGAAGGGAUUGCCCUAAGCUGGUAAAUGCUCUUGCAUCAGCUACAACUUCGAAUUGUUUCAUUUCCUCCUGAUAAAGUUUUAGGUCUGUCUCAUGAAUAAGAUAUGUAACCGUCAAUAACCAUCUUUUCAGCCAAUAGGGUCAAAGUGAGUUGGUGAAACACACCAAGCUGUUCUCCAGGUCUUCCCCCCCCCACCCCACCCCCGCAACAUGUUGCCCAAUUAUUUCACAUUCUUAUAGUGUAAAAUAAACACAUCAAGUCUGUUGAGAUACUGCUGUGGUUAUUUACUUUUCAAAUUUAAUAAGAAGGAGGGGGAUGACUUUUCCUCCCAGGACAGGAAAAGAAAAUCAGACCUGACAGUGUUACAUUAUCAAUUUUUACAAGUACAAAAAUAUCCCAUAAAACAAGCAGUUCUUUGGACACUCAGAUGACUGUCCAAGCUGGCCAGGGAGGUUAUAAAACCCAAAUCCUUUUCAGUUAAUUUUCCAUUUACUUGCAGGAUUUCAUUCACUCUGGCAAGUUUGAUAGCCAUGCAUAACUAUGUCAGCUUUCUUCCUCAUUAAAUUCCACCGCAUUUCCCAGGCCCAAAGGUGCAUAUGCUUGUCUUCUUGAUGCAGGUUU
Sus scrofa (pig) is the source of this 2502-nucleotide non-coding RNA. NCBI's taxonomy places the organism in Eukaryota, Metazoa, Chordata, Mammalia, Artiodactyla, Suidae. The record is from RefSeq and is a predicted model, not a curated record.